CAGGGAAAGAAUUGCAGAGAUGCAAGAUGAAAUGCAGAGAAAAGAGACCUCCUACCAAAAGCAGAAGGCCGUUUACAAGAAAAAGGCUCAGGACAACUGGCUCAGGGCUUGUGUUGUGGAGAGGACAGAAGCCAAACAAAUCAGUGAGGACAACUUCUUGAACAGAGGGUGGCCAAUAAUGCAAAGUCAGAGGAUGCCACAGGA
Tupaia belangeri chinensis (Chinese tree shrew) is the source of this 204-nucleotide long non-coding RNA. RefSeq lists it as uncharacterized. NCBI's taxonomy places the organism in Eukaryota, Metazoa, Chordata, Mammalia, Scandentia, Tupaiidae. The record is from RefSeq and is a predicted model, not a curated record. The transcript has 4 exons.